Molecule: long non-coding RNA, 224 nt
Filed under: Trifolium pratense (red clover)
Lineage: Eukaryota; Viridiplantae; Streptophyta; Magnoliopsida; Fabales; Fabaceae
Description: long non-coding RNA (TPRA_LNC009545)
Source: RNAcentral
UUGAUUUGAGUCAAGAUUCGAGAAUGUUUAAGAUUCUUCUAUACUACGUUUUGUUCUAAUGGGUAAAUUGGGAAUUAGAACAUAAUGUCAGGUGCGGUGCGGGUAGCAAGUAAAAACUUCCAUAGAGUACAAUGUGAAAUUGCCUACAUGUUAUCAAAAAAAAUUUUUUAACCCCUGCCAAUUUUCUCACUAGACAUAUAAAAUUAUCAAAAUUCUUCGGUCCG